Molecule: ribosomal RNA, 253 nt
Filed under: uncultured bacterium
Lineage: Bacteria
Description: partial 16S ribosomal RNA
Rfam family: Bacterial small subunit ribosomal RNA
Source: RNAcentral
UACGUAGGCAGCGAGCGUUGUUCGGAGUUACUGGGCGUAAAGGGUGUGUAGGCGGUUUUCUAAGUUUGGUGUGAAAUCUCCCGGCUCAACCGGGAGGGUGCGCCGAAAACUGGGAGACUAGAGUGCGGGAUGGGAGAGUAGAAUUCCUGGUGUAGCGGUGAAAUGCGCAGAUAUCAAGAGGAACACCAAUGGCGAAGGCAGCUCGCUGGGACGGUACUGACGCUGAGACGCGAAAGCGUGGGGAGCAAACAGG